RNAcentral lists this ribosomal RNA (690 nucleotides) under gamma proteobacterium PB06. Its description in RNAcentral is "bacterial SSU rRNA". It matches the Rfam family "Bacterial small subunit ribosomal RNA", at positions 70 to 763 of the family's 1533-position model. The record is from RNAcentral. Lineage: Bacteria; Pseudomonadati; Pseudomonadota; Gammaproteobacteria.
CAUUUCUAGCUUGCUAAAGAUGACGAGCGGCGGACGGGUGAGUAAUGCUUGGGAACUUGCCUUUGCGAGGGGGAUAACCACUGGAAACGGUGGCUAAUACCGCAUAAUGUCUACGGACCAAAGGGGGCUUAGGCUCUCGCGCAAAGAGAGGCCCAAGUGAGAUUAGCUAGUUGGUGGGGUAAAGGCUCACCAAGGCAACGAUCUCUAGCUGUUCUGAGAGGAAGAUCAGCCACACUGGGACUGAAACACGGCCCAUACUCCUACGGGAGGCAGCAGUGGGGAAUAUUGGACAAUGGGCGCAAGCCUGAUCCAGCCAUGCCGCGUGUGUGAAGAAGGCCUUCGGGUUGUAAAGCACUUUCAGUGGGGAGGAAGGCCAAGCAGUUAAUACCUGCUUGGAUUGACGUUACCCACAGAAGAAGCACCGGCUAACUCCGUGCCAGCAGCCGCGGUAAUACGGAGGGUGCAAGCGUUAAUCGGAAUUACUGGGCGUAAAGCGCACGCAGGCGGUUUGUUAAGCUAGAUGUGAAAGCCCCGGGCUCAACCUGGGAUGGUCAUUUACAACUGGCAGACUAGAGUCUUGGUGAGGGGAGUGGAAUUCCACGUGUAGCGGUGAAAUGCGUAGAUAUCUGGAGGAACAUCAGUGGCGAGGGGCUCCCAUGGUCAAAGACUGACGCUCAUGUGCAAAGUGUG